GAAAGCUCUUCGCUCCCCGCAAACGCGAGUCAUCACAUUCCUCUGCGAGGGGCUGCGGAAAGGCAGCGCUCCCCUCGGCACUUUAUGGGGCUGCCAGUUGAAGAAACCAAGGCUUCGAGAGGUGGAAGGAUUUGUCUAAGAUCACACAGCUGGUGGCAGCAAGACAAGUCAGCAGGAGUUUGCAUUUCCUGCCCCCCCGUCCAGGAACAGCCAGCUUUGGGGCCAGUGGCACCUGCAGGAAGAUGCACUUAUCUUGGACAGAUGGAAAACAACUCCAUUUGCACCUGGAGAGCCCUGAGCAGUGGCAUCUCCAGCAGGGAAUCUGACAUGCAGCACACAGGCCUGUCUGUGCUGCAACCUGGAGCACAUGCAGAUAGCUUGAAUCUUGCAAGCUGAUGUGUAGGUGUCACUUGCUUGAAACCGGGAAGCAAAGCUGCACUGACAGCUGGGAUGCAGCAUCGCAGUGACCAUUACUGAGCAGCUGCUAUGCACCAGGUUUUUACAUGCAUUUAUCUCCUCUAAUCCACAUCCCAAAACCUACAAGGCAGGGCAGUUCCUGUGCCCAUUUUAUGGAUGAGGAAAAUUGAGGCAUAUGGUGGGGGGAGUAAUUCCCACACGGCCACACAGCUAGGAAGUGCCUGCGCUGAGGUUGGAACCUGGGUCUGCCGACUCAAGACUGGGUCCCUAACAAUUUUGCAGCCUAACCAGAGCAAUCAAGUAGCUUACCACCCAGCUAAAUAAUCAGCCAGCCAACCUCCCACUAGCACAAACAGUUACUGGGUGCAUAUAGGGUGCCAGACACUGGAGACAGAGGGAGAUUAAGACAGAAUCCUGCCCCAGCUAUAUGACAUUAAGCCAAUUGCUUAACCUCCUAGGGCUUUAGUUUCCUCAUCUGUAAAAUGGACCAAUAAUACUGCCUCCCUUAUUGGGUUAAGUGUGUAAAUACAUGUAAAGCAGUUAAAACAGCAUCUGCUGCAGAGUAAGCAUUCAAUAAAUGUU
Molecule: long non-coding RNA, 999 nt
Organism: Hippopotamus amphibius kiboko
Lineage: Eukaryota; Metazoa; Chordata; Mammalia; Artiodactyla; Hippopotamidae
Exons: 3
Source: RefSeq, a predicted model, not a curated record